Molecule: ribosomal RNA, 255 nt
Filed under: uncultured bacterium
Lineage: Bacteria
Description: partial 16S ribosomal RNA
Rfam family: Bacterial small subunit ribosomal RNA
Source: RNAcentral
UACGUAGGGUGCAAGCGUUUAAUCGGAAUUACUGGGCGUAAAGCGUGCGCAGGCGGUUUUGUAAGUCUGUCGUGAAAUCCCCGGGCUCAACCUGGGAAUUGCGAUGGAGACUGCAAGGCUAGAAUCUGGCAGAGGGGGGUAGAAUUCCACGUGUGAGCAGUGAAAUGCGUAGAGAUGUGGAGGAACACCGAUGGCGAAGGCAGCCCCCUGGGUCAAGAUUGACGCUCAUGCACGAAAGCGUGGGGAGCAAACAGG